Molecule: long non-coding RNA, 7482 nt
Filed under: Brachypodium distachyon (stiff brome)
Lineage: Eukaryota; Viridiplantae; Streptophyta; Magnoliopsida; Poales; Poaceae
Description: long non-coding RNA (BDIS_LNC002133)
Source: RNAcentral
AGUAAUGAUACAAUCACAACCCCUACAGCACCUACACCUCAAGUACCGGAGAUACAUGGACCAAUUACUAGAGCUCGUGCACGACAACUAAAUUAUCAGGUACUUUCGUUCCUCGGUACUUCAUUUAAUAUUAAUGAGAAUAUGCUGCUGCCUAAGAUGGGUUCUUUUAUGUGUUUUAGGAAUGAAGGACCUAGCUUGGACCUCAAGGAUCAGCGUUGGACAGCAAACCAUGGAGGUGGCAGCAAGGUGGCGGGAGCUAGCUCAAGUGAUGAUUUCAAAACAUUGAAACCGCCAUAACGAGAGAUGAGAAGAAGGCCGCAUCCUUUUCAUCAAUGGGAUUUCGGCCAAGUGGAGGAUUGCCCCUCCAAUGGGUAUCUAUGGGCCAAAGAUGAGAGUUAUAACCUUGCUUUAUUGGGCUUAAGGGCAUGUAAUAGGGUCCAGCCAAUUUUUAGAUGUUUUCGUUGUGUUUUAGGAGGAUUCCUAGGCCGUUUCGGAGUCCCUCAAGGCGAAAACCACCUAGUUCCCCUCGUAUUUAUACCCCAUGAGCCCCCCCAUGGAGCCUUGGGUUUUGAUUAGAUAAAGUUUAGCCUUUGCUACUUUCGUGUAAUCGCGUGUGUCGGUUAGACCACCUGUUUUACCGUCAUCAAGACUCCAACUAUAUUGAGUAUUCAGAUUCGUGAACCUUCAUAUCUCCUAUUCGCAAUUUCAGAUUGCUUUUCAUCUUGUUCUUGCUUAUUCUUCGAUUGAUUGCAGGAACAAAGACCUUCGUGGUCAGGUUGAUCGUGCCGCCGCGGGAUCAAUAACCUUCUGGAGUUGGUGUAUCGAUCGCUAAGGCGCUGCCUCCUAAGUUGUAGUCGGAUCGUCAAUGUCACCUCCUACCAAAUCGAUAAUUAGGUAUCUCAUCGAAAGAUCAGGACACCCUCGAGGCUAUCACGUGGUAUUAGAGCUUAAGGUUGCUCGGUGAGAUUUUUCCAGUUUAUCUGUAGUUUAGAUCUGUUUUUACCUAUCGUCCAGAAAAAGCCAAACAAAAAUUAGAAUUAGUUACCUUGUCCUAGAACCAAUCUGAGCCUUGCAAUUUUCACAUUAGUAUUUGCAUUGUUGAAUCUUUGCUGCAUUAAUCGUGUCGAGUUGCUGGAUUAGAUUGGAUUGUUUUUCAGAUUUUUUCUACUAGAUCGAACUUGCUUUUGGUUUUCUUGUUCUUUGUGUGACGCAGGUUUCCUUCAUCAAUCUUCCGCCGCCAAACUUCCUGCCACACCACCGCCAUAAUCUUCCGCCGCCACCAUAUCUUCCACCGAGUCCCUCUUCGAGUCCUACACCGAGUCCCUCUUCCAGUCCUACACCGAGUCCCUCGUCGAGUCCUACAUCGAGUCGGCAAGUUAUAGUUUUCAGCCGCGAGUUCGAGUCCGAGUCCAAUCAAGAGUGCUUUUGGAAAGUGUUUCAUAAUAGAUCGAAUUUUAUUUAGAGAUCAAGUUGUUCGGAAAGUUGUGAAAAAAAAGAAGGGAAAGAAAAAAAAAGGGAAGAAAGAAAGAAAAAAAAACGAAAAAAAAAAGAGAAAGAGUUCGAGUCAGUUUCGGACCCGAGUCCGAGUAGAAUUAUAGUUUCGGGUGGGUUUGACCCGUGUUCAGUAAAACGGACGUAUCUUUUGCCUACCAACUCGUAUUUGGACGUUCUUGGACUUUUUGGAAAGCUCAAGACGAAGCGCAUCAGGAAAUAUCUAGGGCAUUGCCCUACACUUUGACCCUCAAAUUCGACCUCUAAGGUGGACUUUUCGAGCUCCAAAGUUUCUGCACCCGUUUUACGGCACCGGGGCAGCGCAGUAUAUCUCAGUUUUCUCCACCGUCCGACCUCCGUUUCGAGUGAUCUUGCACUUGUUGGAAAGCUUGUUUCUAUAUGCUUCUAACCCAUAUUUUCUCAUAUUUUUCUGAGUUUUCCUUACUACAGCCUUUGCUAUUCUCCUACGGACCGACGUGCAGCUUUCCGGUCUUAACUUCUUUUGCGUGAGUUUCUGGGGAUAAAAAAAAAGAAAAAGAAAAUAGAAAAGAAUAAGAAGCCAAACAGAAGGCCACAAAAAGAAAAAAAAAGAGAAAAAAAAUAUUCCCCAGAGAUUUACUUGUUUUACCUUUCAUUUGAUAUUUCCUUUCUACCUUUUUCAGUAUCUAGGCUUAGUUAAUUUCUGUAAUUCGUUCUUGUCGACUCUAGCAACUAGGACUAGCAUUUUUGAGCAUAUUUUCAACUUUGCAUUGCUGAUUUGAUUAUUCGCUUUUCCUUAAUACUCACAUAAGCCUCCAAGCUCCACUAUUCUACACCUAGGUUGGUUUGCCUCGAGGCAUCGAUACACUAAUCUUCGGAGGGUUUGUUCUCGCCGCUGGCCAUCACCUUCCUAUUUGCUGGGUAAGAACGAGUAAGAACUUGAUUAAAAGUUGAGUGGAGUGAUCUUUGGAACCCCACAUCCUAGUAGUGCAUAGGGACUUUUCCUUAUGAUUUGUUUCUUGUUUUCUCCUAACGAUGGCAGGUUCUGAUGAUGAUUGACAAGGCCACUCUCCACGCACAAAGGGCAUUAUUUCACAUUUUGAUCGCAAGCUUAGGCUCCGUAACGAGGAGCUGGAUGAGGACGUUCGCGUUGCGAAUGAGAGACUUGGAACCUUGGAGAGCGCGCACAUUGAAACAAAUACCAAGCUAACAUCUUUACAGAAUUCUGUUGCUACCAUUAGUACUUCUCUGGCAGAAAUCACGACGCAACUGGCGGCAAUUGCUGCAACGACCAUCGCUACACCGGGAGGAAACAAUACACACAACCAGCGGACCGCUAAUAACGGUACCUUCACAAGCGAGGUUGAGGAGAACGACGACGACUACUCUGCGGAUACGGAACACGACGGGGCCGUAAACCAUCACAACGACCGUGAUCAUCGCCGAACUCGUUUCAACCGCCGAGGUAUGGGACCGACACGACCUCACAGAGAGGAACAUGACUCGCUGCAUUCUAUUAAACUUAAGGUUCCUCCUUUUGAUGGAAAAUAUGACCCUGAUGCUUACCUUACAUGGGAAUUAGAAUUGAGUCAAAAAUUUACUUGCCAUGAUUUUCCUGCUAAUAAGAGGGUUAGGGCUGCUACUAGUGAGUUUACUGAUUUUACUUCUGUUUGGUGGCAUGAGUAUUGUAUUGCACAUCCUAACACUAUACCACCAACAUGGGAUGAUUUGAAAAGAAUUAUGCGCGCUAGAUAUGUUCCUUCAUACUAUUCGCGUGACUUGUUAAAGAAACUACAACAAUUAAGGCAAGGUAGUAAUUCUGUCCAAGAUUAUUAUCAAGAAAUGCAAAAGAACAUGUUACGUUGUGGUUUAGUUGAGAAUGAGGAAGCAGCUAUGGCUAGAUUCUUUGGUGGUUUAAAUCGUGAAAUUGCUGACAUUUUUUAUUAUAAGGAGUAUAAUUCUAUCAAUCGAUUGUUUCACAUUGCUUGCAAAGCUGAAAGGGAAGUGCAGGGACGACACGCGAACGCGCGGACUAACUUUUCUGCAGGUCAUACUUCCUCAUGGGCAGCACGCAGCCCCGCUGCCCCUUCCACACGCCCAGCUGCACCCCCUACACGUCCGGCUGUUCCGACUACUUCCACCAACAAGCAAAGUACCUCUACACCUACAUCCGCAAAGGUUGGACCAGCAGCAACAAGAAAUACACCCGCUGCCUCUGCACAAAGUUCAGCAGCGUCCGUUGCUUCCACCGGACGGACCGGAGAUAACCAAUGUCGUAGGUGCAAAGGAUACGGGCAUUUUCAGCGGGACUGUCCAACCAAACGCGUUAUGAUCAUACGUGAAGAUGGAGUAUAUGAUUCAGCCAGUGAUUUUGACGAAGCUACCUAUGCUCUCAUUGCCGAGGAAGAGCAAGAAGACCCCGCUGCCCACCAUGACGAGGAGUUAAUGGGAGCUGAAGCCGCUGAUCAGUACUUGAGUUUGAUUGCACAACGCACCUUGAGCGUCCAAAUGAGCCACGCCGAACAAAAUCAGCAGCAUAACUUGUUCCAAACAAAAGGGGUCAUCAAGGAGCGCGUUGUUCGUAUCAUCAUAGAUGGGGGAAGUUGCAAUAAUUUGGCCAGCACGGAGAUGGUGGAAAAACUUGUUCUUACCACCAGGCCGCACCCCCACCCUUACUACAUUCAAUGGUUUAACAACAGCGGUAAGCUCAAGGUAACUAGAACAGUCCGUGCACACUUUACUAUUGGUACAUAUUCUGAUUUUGUGGAUUGUGAUGUGGUACCUAUGCAAGCAUGUUCUAUGUUACUCGGUCGUCCAUGGCAAUAUGAUACAGAUUCUGUUCAUCAUGGUAGAACUAAUCAUUAUUCUUUUAUGCAUGCUGGUAAGAAAAUUGGUUUGAAACCUAUGACUCCUGAACAAAUUGUGAAAGAUGAUCUUGCUAGAGCUAGUAGAGCAAAGAGCAAAGAGAAGGAUAAGAGUGAGAACCAUAAUGUCGCUAAAGAAUUUAAGCACCAAGCGUCUACUAGCAAAUCUGAACCGAAACAUGUUAAUGAAAUUAAAUUGAAAGGUGCAUGCUUGCUUGCAAGUAAAUCCGAUAUUUCUGAGUUAGAUACGAAUAUCUGUUUGCUAUGCAUUCAUUUGCAAAGAGGCUUUGUUUUCAUUUGAGGAUAUGCCUCCCUCUUUGCCCCCUGCUGUUACUCACGUUUUGCAGGAGUAUUCCGACAUCUUUCCACAAGACGUACCACUAGGAUUACCACCUAUUCGAGGGAUUGAACAUCAAAUUGAUUUAAUUCCUGGUGCUUCGUUGCCCAACCAUGCGCCCUACCGUACCAAUCCAGAGGAGACGAAGGAGAUUCAACGACAAGUUCAAGAAUUGCUCGACAAAGGUUAUAUUCGUGAAUCCCUUAGUCCUUGUGUUGUUCCUGUUAUUUUGGUACCAAAGAAAGAUGGUUCUUGGCGUAUGUGUGUAGAUUGUAGAGCUAUUAAUAACAUUACUAUUCGCUAUCGUCACCCAAUUCCUAGACUUGAUGAUAUGUUUUACGUGCAUUUAAAACUAAGUUUGGACUAUAUGAGUGGUUACUCAUGCCUUUCGGUCUUACUAACGCACCUAGCACUUUCAUGCGGUUAAUGAACGAAGUUUUACGUGCUUUCAUAGGACGAUUUGUGGUGGUUUAUUUUGAUGAUAUAUUGAUUUACAGCAGCUCUUUAGAAGACCACUUGAAUCAUUUACGUGCUGUUUUUGAUGCUUUGAGAGAUGCACGUUUGUUUGGUAACCUUGAGAAGUGCACCUUUUGCACCGAUCGAGUUUCGUUUCUUGGCUAUGUUGUCACUCCACAGGGCAUAGAAGUUGAUAAGGCCAAGAUCGACGCUAUUCAAAGCUGGCCAACUCCAACAACGGUCACCCAAGUGAGGAGCUUUCUUGGACUCGCUGGGUUUUAUCGCCGCUUUGUAAAGGAUUUCAGCACCCUUGCUGCACCGCUUAAUGAGCUCACAAAGAAGGACGUUCCAUAUGUAUGGGGCGCUGCACAAGAAGAAGCUUUUCUCAUAUUGAAAGAUAAGUUGACACAUGCUCCUUUACUCCAACUUCCUGAUUUUAAUAAGACUUUUGAGUUGGAGUGUGAUGCUAGUGGAAUCGGUUUAGGAGGUGUGUUGUUACAAGACGGAAAACCUGUUGCAUACUUUAGUGAAAAAUUGAGUGGGCCUAGUCUGAAUUAUUCUACUUAUGAUAAGGAAUUAUAUGCUCUCGUUCGGACUUUAGAAACAUGGCAACAUUAUUUAUGGCCCAAAGAAUUUGUUAUACAUUCUGAUCAUGAAUCUUUGAAGCAUAUUUGUAGUCAAGAAAAGCUGAACCGUCGUCAUGCUAAAUGGGUUGAAUUUAUUGAGUCUUUUCCGUAUGUUAUUAAACAUAAGAAGGGUAAAGAUAAUGUUAUUGCUGAUGCGUUAUCACGUCGUUAUACCUUGUUAUCUCAGCUUGAUUUUCGGAUAUUUGGAUUGGAGACUAUAAAAGAACAAUACGAAUAUGAUGCAGAUUUUAAGGAUGUUUUGCAGCAUUGUAAAGAGAGCAGAACAUGGAACAAGUUCGUCAUUAAUGAUGGAUUUGUGUUCCGUGCUAACAAGCUAUGCAUCCCAGAUAGCUCCGUUCGUCUUUUGUUGUUACAGGAGGCACAUGGAGGAGGGUUGAUGGGUCACUUCGGCGUGAAGAAGACCGAAGAUGUGCUCGCUGAUCAUUUCUUUUGGCCUCGGAUGAGACGGGAUGUUGAGAGAUUUAUCGCUCGCUGCACUACAUGUCAAAAAGCUAAGUCACGACUCAAUCCUCAUGGUUUAUAUAUGCCUCUCCCUGUUCCUAAUGUUCCUUGGGAAGAUAUAUCAACGGAUUUUGUUUUGGGAUUGCCUCGAACUAAGAAGGGGAGGGAUAGCAUAUUUGUUGUUGUUGAUAGAUUUUCUAAGAUGGCACAUUUUAUACCUUGUCAUAAGAGCGAUGAUGCUACAAAUGUUGCUGAUUUAUUCUUUCGUGAAAUUGUUCGCUUGCAUGGUGUGCCCAAUACUAUAGUUUCAGAUCGUGACACAAAAUUUCUUAGCCACUUUUGGAGAUGUUUAUGGGCUAAGUUGGGGACUAAAUUGCUUUUUAGUACUACAUGUCAUCCCCAAACAGAUGGACAAACUGAAGUUGUUAAUUGAACAUUAUCUACUAUGCUUAGGGCUGUUUUAAAGAAGAACUUGAAAAUGUGGGAAGAAUGUUUACCUCAUAUUGAAUUUGCUUAUAAUCGUUCACUGCAUUCAACCACAAAAUUGUGCCCUUUUGAAAUUGUUUAUGGUUUUAUACCUCGUGCACCAAUUGAUUUGCUACCUUUGCCAACUUCUGAAAAAGUUAACUUUGAUGCUAAGGAACGUGCUGAACUUAUAAUAAAAUGCAUGAGACGACUAAAGAGAACAUUGAGCGCAUGAAUUCUAAGUAUAAACUUGCGGGAGAUAGGGCAGAAAACAAAUUGUGUUUGAACCUGGAGAUCUUGUUUCAGCAUUUGCGCAAAGAUCGUUUCCCUGAUUUGCGCAAGUCUAAGUUAAUGCCACGAGCUGAUGGUCCUUUUAAGGUGUUAGCAAAAAUUAAUGAUAAUGCAUAUAAACUUGAGCUACCUGCAGAUUUUGGGGUUAGUCCCACGUUUAAUAUUGCAGAUUUGAAGCCUUAUUUGGGAGAAGAAGAUGAACUACCGUCGAGGACGACUUCGAUUCAAGAAGGGGAGGAUGAUGAGGACAUCCCAAGUAAUGAUACAAUCACAGCCCCUACAGCACCUACACCUCAAGUACCGGAGAUACAUGGACCAAUUACUAGAGCUCGUGCAUGACAACUAAAUUAUCAGGUACUUUCGUUCCUCGGUACUUCAUUUAAUAUUAAUGAGAAUAUGCUGCUGCCUAAGAUGGGUUCUUUUAUGUGUUUUAGGAAUGAAGGACCUAGCUUGGACCUCAAGGAUCAGCGUUGGACAGCAAACCAUGGAGGUGGCAGCAAGGUGGCGGGAG